AAGUCGUAACAAGGUAUCCGUAGGUGAACCUGCGGAUGGAUCAUUAAACAUAUCUACGUAUCAACCAAUCGUGAACUCUCGUUUUUUUCCAAACCGAGUCUCUUUGUGGAUGUAUAUGAGUGGGUUUGUUGUGUUUUAGUAGCUUUACCGGACUUUGGUCGUGUGAAAGCCUUUCUCUCGGGAGAGGUUAGUAGUGGACUUUUAAGGGGGUUUAGCGAAAGAAUGUGAUGAACUUUGCAAGUGUACAUGUGCAAAUCGAUGGCAUGGUGAGGAAAACUUAUUAACCCAUUGUAUUAUCAUCCCCAGUUAUUUUCAUUCUUUGUCGCGGCCUAACGGCGGACUUUCUAGUAAGAAAUUUUUGUACAACUCUUAACGAUGGAUAUCUAGGCUCUC
This 393-nucleotide unclassified non-coding RNA is filed under the name fungal sp. RNAcentral describes it as "partial internal transcribed spacer region". The stretch from base 1 to 46 matches the Rfam family "Eukaryotic small subunit ribosomal RNA", at positions 1786 to 1831 of the family's 1831-position model. The record is from RNAcentral. Lineage: Eukaryota; Fungi.